Molecule: transfer RNA, 87 nt
Filed under: Asanoa ishikariensis
Lineage: Bacteria; Bacillati; Actinomycetota; Actinomycetes; Micromonosporales; Micromonosporaceae
Description: tRNA-Pro
Source: RNAcentral
CGCAGGUGGCGUACGCGGACGCGCUGGCCGCCUGGGGCGAGGCCGGUGGCUACGACGCCGAGGUGCUGUUCGACACGGUGUCGACGA